Panicum virgatum (switchgrass) is the source of this 271-nucleotide long non-coding RNA. RefSeq lists it as uncharacterized. The record is from RefSeq and is a predicted model, not a curated record. Lineage: Eukaryota; Viridiplantae; Streptophyta; Magnoliopsida; Poales; Poaceae. The transcript is spliced from 3 exons.
UAUUCUUUGUUGAAAAGCUCAGCAGCAACUUGCAUGCUUAAUUUGAGUUGACUAUCUGACUUUGUAUCUCCGCACAGCCACCUCCUUGGAGCUUCCUUCACUGAUUUGGUUACGGAGAUACUGCUGGCUCACCGCAGGUCCAUAUUGCAGGACAAGACCAGUAGCCGAAAGCAAUUGACAUUAUCUCGACAUCUACAAUAUUUGGAGCAGCUGACCUCCUAUCAAGAAGUAUUUGCGUGAAGGAGCUUGUGUAAUGGCACACCAAGGAAUA